GACCUACGGGACGCAGCAGUGGGGAAUAUUGCGCAAUGGGCGAAAGCCUGACGCAGCGACGCCGCGUGAGGGAUGAAGGUCUUCGGAUCGUAAACCUCUGUCGGCAGGGAAGAACGGUCACUGUGCUAAUCAGCAGUGAUUUGACGGUAUCUGCAAAGGAAGCACCGGCUAACUCCGUGCCAGCAGCCGCGGUAAUACGGGGGGGGCGAGCGUUAAUCGGAAUUACUGGGCGUAAAGCGCUCGUAGGCGGUAUUUCAAGUCAAGUGAGAAAGCC
Molecule: ribosomal RNA, 274 nt
Filed under: uncultured bacterium
Lineage: Bacteria
Description: partial 16S ribosomal RNA
Rfam family: Bacterial small subunit ribosomal RNA
Source: RNAcentral